This 492-nucleotide ribosomal RNA is filed under the name uncultured bacterium. Its description in RNAcentral is "partial 16S ribosomal RNA". It matches the Rfam family "Bacterial small subunit ribosomal RNA", at positions 28 to 507 of the family's 1533-position model. The record is from RNAcentral.
AGUGAACGCUGGCGGUAGGCUUAACACAUGCAAGUCGAACGGCAGCACAGUAAGAGCUUGCUCUUACGGGUGGCGAGUGGGGGACGGGUGAGGAAUACAUCGGAAUCUACUUUUUCGUGGGGGUUAACGUAGGGAAACUUACGCCAAUACCGCAUACGACCUACGGGUGAGAGCAUGGGAACUUCGGGCCUUGCGCGAUUGAAUGAGCGGAUGUCGGAUUAGCUAGUUGGCGGGGUAAAGGCCCAGCAAGGCGAGGAUCCGUAGCUGGUCUGAGAGGAUGGUCGGCCGCACUGGAGCGGGGCCGCGGUCCAGGCUCCUGCGGGAGGCAGCAGUGUGCUAUGUUGGGCAGUGGGCGCGAGCCUGGUCCAGCGGUACCGCGUCGGUGACGGCGGCCUUCGGUUUGUAAUGCCCGUUUGUUGGGUGUGAAAAGCAUCAGCUUAAUACGCCGCUGUUCUGACGGUACCCAGUGAAGAAGCACCGGCUAACUUCGUG